Molecule: small RNA, 654 nt
Filed under: Pan troglodytes (chimpanzee)
Lineage: Eukaryota; Metazoa; Chordata; Mammalia; Primates; Hominidae
Description: retained intron
Source: RNAcentral
ACAUGGAUGAGCCACAGACACUCACCUUACUGAAGCCAGUGCUUGGGGUCCUGAGAGUGCGUCCACAGAACUGGCAAGACUGUGUGGCGUGGGCUCUUGGCCACUGGAAACUCUGCUUUCAUUAUGGCAUCAAACAGCUGCUGAGGCACUUCCCACCUAAUAAAGUGUGUGGCUAGGGGUUGGGACGCUGGGGGCUCAGGGGGACCAGACUGAGCCCAGCAGCUUCUACUUACCUACCUAGGUGCUUGAGGAUGGAACUCCCUUCUGGUCAGGUCCCAAACAGUGUCCCCAGCCCUUGGAGUUUGACACCAACCAAGACACACACCUCCUCUACGUACUGGCAGCUGCCAACCUGUAUGCCCAGAUGCAUGGGCUGCCUGGCUCACAGGACUGGACUGCACUCAGGAAGCUGCUGAAGCUGCUGCCACAGCCUGACCCCCAACAGAUGGCCCCCAUCUUUGCUAGUAAUCUAGAGCUGGCUUCGGCUUCUGCUGAGUUUGGCCCUGAGCAGCAGAAGGAACUGAACAAAGCCCUGGAAGUCUGGAGUGUGGGCCCUCCCCUGAAGCCUCUGAUGUUUGAGAAGGAUGAUGACAGCAACUUCCAUGUGGACUUUGUGGUAGCGGCAGCUAGCCUGAGAUGUCAGAACUACGGGAU